AGAAGGGGAGGAGCCUGGCUGCACCCCUCUUCAGGCUCAUUUAAGGGCUGACCCUCAGUGAGGAAGGAUCUCUUUGUGGAGCUUCCUCCUUGGUGGAGGCCUUCCCCUGCAAACCCAGAAUCUUUGGAUACGGGUGAGUGAUGUGCUUCCCUUCCCUUGCAGCACCUUGCUGUUGUGCUGCUCCUUCCACCUCUUUUGUAACACCUUUUCCAUGGUGUUGGUCCUUCUGAUUCCUGAAUUUCUGUUAAAUAUUGUAGCAGUUUGUCAGCAGCAAGAAGGAGACCAGGGAAUGCAGAGGUGCUGACUGCCUUCUCUUCAGAGGGUACUGCUGAGAGCUCUCCUCAGGGAUCCUGGAGGAGGUGGUAAGAGACGAUGUAGGUGAAAUGUGUGUCUGCAAGUCCCUUGGCCCUAAUGGGAUACAGGUGUGUGUGCUGAGGAGACAGCCCAACAGCUGUCUCUGACUCUGUCUGAUCUUUCCUAUAGGAAAUGCGUCUGAGGACCAGAGGACAGCCAGCGUUGGCGCAGCCUUCAAACAGGGUGAGAAGCACGGCCUUGCAUCCUUUCCAGUGAGGUGUGGGAACAACUUGUUCUAGAUGUCACAUCCUGGCACUGGGAAGAGAAGAAAAUAGUCUGGGGCAGUCAAGGUGGCUUCAGCUAGAGCAAGCUGGUAGCACUGUGCAGGAGUCUCGCUGAUGAGAGCUGCGCGGCAUUCAUGGAGGGGAACACCAGCAGGAAGAAGGACUGGACUGUGAGCGACAAAGCAGUUAUGGUGUUGCCUUGCCUGGGGCUAUGGAAGCUUGGUCUGGAGGCUUUCCCAGGUUCAGGGCCAGACCAAGAACUGCGAUGGUGCCCUUCUGGAGCAAGGUGAGCUGUGCCCUGUCUGGGUUUUAAGGAGUUCCAGGCAUGCAAGCGUGUUCUGUGUGAGGGUGUGCUUUUGUUUCAGCCCCUCUCUUGGAGGAGUGUGAGACUGUGGGUCCAGUUAAUGUCUGACACUGCAGUGUUCUUUUAUUUCAGGGUUGGGUGUGCUGCUGGAGUCCUGAGAGGAAGGUGAAGCCCUGAGGUUGGAAGGCUGUGGCUGCAGAAGCGGAGCAGAGGGACCAGGUAGGCAUGUGUUGCAUGCUGCUUACCUUAGGGGUGGUUUUCAAUAAGAAAAGUGGCUUGGCUUGGUUGCUUUGGUGGAUUCUUAUGGUGUGGUGGUUUUAAGGGAGAGUAGGGCUAGGUGAGUGAGUUAUGUUUAGAUGCUGUGUGCAGAGAUGUGGUGAAAUGGGGUUAUUGGUGGGUGUUGGAUGAUGUAGCAGGUCUUGAGUGGUGUUGGUGACGGUGUGACUUUUGUGGUUUAGAGGUGGUAUCUUUAGCUUGUGCUUUCUUUUUGUCUUAGUGAUGGUUUUUGGUCAGGCUUGGUUGCUGUGGCUUUUGAGUGGUGGUGGAUAGUUGUUGUGUCCCUUAGAAAAUCCC
RNAcentral lists this long non-coding RNA (1455 nucleotides) under Numida meleagris (helmeted guineafowl). RNAcentral's name for it is "lncRNA (ENSNMEG00000004709.1)". Lineage: Eukaryota; Metazoa; Chordata; Aves; Galliformes; Numididae. The record is from RNAcentral.